GCCAGGCGCGGUGGCUCACGCCUGUAAUCCUAGCACUUUGGGAGGCUGAGGUGGGCGGAUCACCUGAGGUCAGGAGUUCGAGACCAGCCUGGCCAACAUGGUGAAACCCCAUCUCUA
This 117-nucleotide non-coding RNA is filed under the name Pan paniscus (pygmy chimpanzee). Lineage: Eukaryota; Metazoa; Chordata; Mammalia; Primates; Hominidae. The record is from Rfam by way of RNAcentral. RNAcentral also lists the same sequence under 1 other name.